UUGCAUUUAUAAAUGUAUACGCUUUUAAA
RNAcentral lists this non-coding RNA (29 nucleotides) under Rattus norvegicus (Norway rat). Lineage: Eukaryota; Metazoa; Chordata; Mammalia; Rodentia; Muridae. The record is from RNAcentral.